RNAcentral lists this small nuclear RNA (134 nucleotides) under Fukomys damarensis (Damara mole-rat). RNAcentral's name for it is "U2 spliceosomal RNA". It matches the Rfam family "U2 spliceosomal RNA". Rfam says of the family: U2 is a small nuclear RNA (snRNA) component of the spliceosome (involved in pre-mRNA splicing). Complementary binding between U2 snRNA (in an area lying towards the 5' end but 3' to hairpin I) and the branchpoint sequence (BPS) of the intron results the bulging out of an unpaired adenosine, on the BPS, which initiates a nucleophilic attack at the intronic 5' splice site, thus starting the first of two transesterification reactions that mediate splicing. Lineage: Eukaryota; Metazoa; Chordata; Mammalia; Rodentia; Bathyergidae. The record is from Rfam by way of RNAcentral.
AUCGCUUCUCGGCCUUUUGGCUAAGAUCAAGUGAAGAUAAUUUAUACAAGAAACUAAUUUAAGAAUAGAAACUUAAUACUUUCUGUUGACAGUUGUGAUCAAAUUAAGCCUCUAGCCCCAUUGAAGUUUUAUCU